UUUGAAGAUUCGUGGAGGAUCGGCUGGAAUUAUUGAGUCCUUAUAUGGUGUUGUCAAGCCUAUCUCCAUUUUAAACAAGAGUACAGAGGUUAGACCUUCCGGGAAGAUUGGUUCGGGUACAACAGAGAUACCAUUUUCCAUGUUUUUGAGACAGCCAGGAAAAGACAACCUAAAAAGAUUUUAUGAGACCUUCCAUGGAGCCAAUAUCAGUGCUCAGGUGAGUGUGUUUGUCUUGAUAGAAUCUCUGCAGGUUCACCUUUGUGUUGAAAGUACCAUUUGUGUUUCUCUCUUUUUUCUCCCUUAUUUAGGCAUUGUUUUUCUUAUACAUUUAAGUGACAGUGGAUGAUUAACAACACUUUUGAUAGUAUCUGGUAACCGUAGAUAUAAUAAGAGGAUACCUACAUAAAACAUUA
Quercus robur (English oak) is the source of this 413-nucleotide long non-coding RNA. RefSeq lists it as uncharacterized. The record is from RefSeq and is a predicted model, not a curated record. The transcript has 3 exons. NCBI's taxonomy places the organism in Eukaryota, Viridiplantae, Streptophyta, Magnoliopsida, Fagales, Fagaceae.